GUCUAUAGCCAUGCCACCCUGAACAAGCCCAGUCCCGUCAGAUCUUGGAAGCUAAGCAGGGUUGGGCCUGGUUAGUACUUGGAUGGGAGACCACGUAGGAAGACCAGGUGCUGUAGGUG
RNAcentral lists this ribosomal RNA (119 nucleotides) under Pteropus alecto (black flying fox). The record is from RNAcentral. Lineage: Eukaryota; Metazoa; Chordata; Mammalia; Chiroptera; Pteropodidae. RNAcentral also lists the same sequence under 1 other name.